CCCCACGCUAAGGUUCAAAAUAUGCCUUUUGAAUUACCCCAGGGUGUAUUCUUUAAUAAAUAGUAUGUGUUUGUGGGGAAGUUUCAAUAACCAACCAUCUAAACUACUCCAAAAUGGAACAUGGACACAGCGUAAAACUUCAAAGUUAGAAAAAAACUGAAUGGCUGCGUCUCACAUGUGCCCCUUCAACAUCCACAUAUACCUGGAAAAUGUACAUACGGGGGUAUUGCUGUACUCAGCCGACAUAGCUGAGCAACAUAUGAAGUAUUAUACAGUCGUAGCACACAUACAAUUUGCAAAAUAUACUGUGCAAACUCACUUUGUGUGUCAAAAAGGC
Non-coding RNA from Pelobates cultripes (western spadefoot toad), 337 nucleotides. NCBI's taxonomy places the organism in Eukaryota, Metazoa, Chordata, Amphibia, Anura, Pelobatidae. The record is from the annotation of a GenBank genome assembly.